GGUGAAGAACGCAGCGAAAUGCGAUACGUAAUGUGAAUUGCAGAAUUCAGUGAAUCAUCGAAUCUUUGAACGCAUAUUGCGCUCUUUGGUAUUCCGAAGAGCAUGCUUGUUUGAGUAUCAGUAAACACCUCAAAGCUUUUGGAUUUUUUAAUCGAAAAGCUUUGGACUUGAGCAAUCCCAACACCAAUCUUUUUGAGAUCGGUGGCGGGUUGCUUGAAAUGCAGGUGCAGCUGGACAUUCUCCUGAGCUAAAAGCAUAUACAUUUAGUCCCGUCAAACGGAUUAUUACUUUUGCUGCAGCUAACAUAAAGGGAGUUUGACCGUAUUGGCUGACUGAUGCAGGAUUUCACAAGGGUCGGCAACGAUUCUUGUUAAACUCGAUCUCAAAUCAAGUAAGACUACCCGCUGAACUUAAGCAUAUCAAUAAGCGGAGGA
RNAcentral lists this unclassified non-coding RNA (434 nucleotides) under soil metagenome. Its description in RNAcentral is "partial contains 5.8S ribosomal RNA, internal transcribed spacer 2, and large subunit ribosomal RNA". The stretch from base 3 to 120 matches the Rfam family "5.8S ribosomal RNA", at positions 37 to 154 of the family's 154-position model. The record is from RNAcentral.